This 253-nucleotide ribosomal RNA is filed under the name uncultured bacterium. Its description in RNAcentral is "partial 16S ribosomal RNA". It matches the Rfam family "Bacterial small subunit ribosomal RNA", at positions 524 to 776 of the family's 1533-position model. The record is from RNAcentral.
UACGGAGGGUGCGAGCGUUAUCCGGAUUCACUGGGUUUAAAGGGUGCGUAGGUGGGCAGGUAAGUCAGCGGUGAAAUCUCCGGGCUUAACCCGGAAACUGCCAUUGAUACUAUCAGUCUUGAAUACCGUGGAGGUAAGCGGAAUAUGUCAUGUAGCGGUGAAAUGCUUAGAUAUGACAUAGAACACCAAUUGCGAAGGCAGCUUACUACCCGAAUAUUGACACUGAGGCACGAAAGCGUGGGGAUCAAACAGG